This 538-nucleotide ribosomal RNA is filed under the name Diaporthe sp. S1. Its description in RNAcentral is "eukaryotic LSU rRNA". The stretch from base 177 to 330 matches the Rfam family "5.8S ribosomal RNA". The record is from RNAcentral. Lineage: Eukaryota; Fungi; Ascomycota; Sordariomycetes; Diaporthales; Diaporthaceae. RNAcentral also lists the same sequence under 1 other name.
UGCUGGAACGCGCUUCGGCGCACCCAGAAACCCUUUGUGAACUUAUACCUAUCUGUUGCCUCGGCGUAGGCCGGCCUCUUCACUGAGGCCCCCUGGAAACAGGGAGCAGCCCGCCGGCGGCCAACUAAACUCUUGUUUCUAUAGUGAAUCUCUGAGUAAAAACAUAAAUGAAUCAAAACUUUCAACAACGGAUCUCUUGGUUCUGGCAUCGAUGAAGAACGCAGCGAAAUGCGAUAAGUAAUGUGAAUUGCAGAAUUCAGUGAAUCAUCGAAUCUUUGAACGCACAUUGCGCCCUCUGGUAUUCCGGAGGGCAUGCCUGUUCGAGCGUCAUUUCAACCCUCAAGCCUGGCUUGGUGAUGGGGCACUGCCUUCUAGCGAGGGCAGGCCCUGAAAUCUAGUGGCGAGCUCGCUAGGACCCCGAGCGUAGUAGUUAUAUCUCGUUCUGGAAGGCCCUGGCGGUGCCCUGCCGUUAAACCCCCAACUUCUGAAAAUUUGACCUCGGAUCAGGUAGGAAUACCCGCUGAACUUAAGCAUAUCA